AUUGAACGCUGGCGGAAUGCUUUACACAUGCAAGUCGAACGGCAGCACGGGAGCUUGCUCCUGGUGGCGAGUGGCGAACGGGUGAGUAAUAUAUCGGAACGUAUCCAAUAAUGGGGGAUAACUGUCGAAAGAUUAGCUAAUACCGCAUACGCCCUGAGGGGGAAAGCUAGGGACCUCAACGCCUGGCGUUAAUGGAGCGGUCGAUAUCUGAUUAGCUAGUUGGUGAGGUAAAGGCUCACCAAGGCGACGAUCAGUAGCUGGUCUGAUAGGACGACCAGCCACACUGGAACUGAGACACGGUCCAGACUCCUACGGGAGGCAGCAGUGGGGAACUUUGGACAAUGGGCGCAAGCCUGAUCCAGCCAUUCCGCGUGAGUGAAGAAGGCCUUCGGGUUGUAAAGCUCUUUCGCAAGGGAAGAAAACUUACCCUCUAACAUAGGGUGAGGCUGACGGUACCUUGAUAAGAAGCACCGGCUAACUACGUGCCAGCCGCCGCCGAA
Molecule: ribosomal RNA, 500 nt
Filed under: uncultured bacterium
Lineage: Bacteria
Description: partial 16S ribosomal RNA
Rfam family: Bacterial small subunit ribosomal RNA
Source: RNAcentral